UAAGAAAUAUCUAAUAAGCCCUGUGUGGGA
This 30-nucleotide non-coding RNA is filed under the name Mus musculus (house mouse). Lineage: Eukaryota; Metazoa; Chordata; Mammalia; Rodentia; Muridae. The record is from RNAcentral.